CCUGGCUCAGGAUGAACGCUAGCGGCAGGCCUAACACAUGCAAGUCGAGGGAGGAGCUUUCGGGCUUCGACCGGCGGACGGGUGCGUAACGCGUAUACACUCUGCCUUUCACAUAGGGAUAGCCCGAAGACAUUUGGAUGAAUACCUAAUGGUAUAUCGGGAUGGCAUCAUUUUUAUAUUAAAGCUGCGGCGGUGAAAGAUGAGUAUGCGUUCUAUUAGCUAGUUGGUGAGGUAACGGCUCCCCAAGGCGACGAUAGAUAGGGGUUCUGAGAGGGAUAUCCCCCACACUGGUACUGAGAUACGGCCCAGACUCCUACGG
RNAcentral lists this ribosomal RNA (319 nucleotides) under uncultured bacterium. Its description in RNAcentral is "bacterial SSU rRNA". It matches the Rfam family "Bacterial small subunit ribosomal RNA", at positions 18 to 344 of the family's 1533-position model. The record is from RNAcentral.